RNAcentral lists this ribosomal RNA (429 nucleotides) under Fusobacteriota bacterium. Its description in RNAcentral is "Fusobacteria bacterium partial 16S ribosomal RNA". It matches the Rfam family "Bacterial small subunit ribosomal RNA", at positions 355 to 776 of the family's 1533-position model. The record is from RNAcentral. Lineage: Bacteria; Fusobacteriati; Fusobacteriota.
UGGGGAAUAUUGCACAAUGGGCGCAAGCCUGAUGCAGCCAUGCCGCGUGUAUGAAGAAGGCCUUCGGGUUGUAAAGUACUUUCAGCGGGGAGGAAGGGAGUAAAGUUAAUACCUCUGCUCAUUGACGUUACCCGCAGAAGAAGCACCGGCUAACUCCGUGCCAGCAGCCGCGGUAAUACGGAGGGUGCAAGCGUUAAUCGGAAUUACUGGGCGUAAAGCGCACGCAGGCGGUUUGUUAAGUCUGAUGUGAAAUCCCCGGGCUCAACCUGGGAACUGCAUCUGAUACUGGCAAGCUUGAGUCUCGUAGAGGGGGGUAGAAUUCCCGGUGUAGCGGUGAAAUGCGUAGAGAUCUGGAGGAAUACCGGUGGCGAAGGCGGCAACCUGGACGAAGACUGACGCUCAGGUGCGAAAGCGUGGGGAGCAAACAGG